RNAcentral lists this unclassified non-coding RNA (1534 nucleotides) under uncultured fungus. RNAcentral describes it as "sequence contains 18S rRNA gene, ITS1, 5.8S rRNA gene, ITS2, 28S rRNA gene". The stretch from base 420 to 1534 matches the Rfam family "Eukaryotic large subunit ribosomal RNA", at positions 1 to 961 of the family's 3401-position model. The record is from RNAcentral. Lineage: Eukaryota; Fungi.
GGAAGGAUCAUUAACACUGCUCUCUGGGACUUUUCGUUCCUCUGGCAACAUGUCGGCUCCGGUGCGUUGUUGGCUCUCUAGAUUGGUGCUAUGCUGCAACUAAAGUUUUCUAUUAUACAACAACAUACAACUCUUAGCAAUGGAUAUCUUGGUUCCCACAACGAUGAAGAACGCAGCGAAAUGCGAUACGUAAUGCGAAUUGCAGAAUUCAGUGAAUCAUCAAAUCUUUGAACGCAAGUUGCGCUCUCGAGAUAUCCUUGAGAGCAUGCCUCUUUGAGUGUCGGUUUCCAUUACUUGGCUCCGCGAGAGCUAGUGAUUGCAGCUUCGUCGCUGGUCGAUGAUGCUGCUUCGAUCCACAGGGUGCCUGGUCUUCUUGAAUUUUCAUCCGUUCAAGAUCGGGAAACACCUCCUCAACCAACAGAUCUCAAAUGAGGUAAGACUACCCGCCGAAUUUAAGCAUAUAAUUAAGCGGAGGAAAAGAAACUAACUAGGAUUCCCUCAGUAACGGCGAGUGAAGCGGGAAGAGCUCAAACCGAAAAUCCCUGCUUGCGGGCAGCGAAUUGUGGUCUAUUGAGGCGUGUCUCAGUGUCGGUCCCGGCCUAAGUCCAUUGGAACAUGGCAUCGGAGAGGGUGAGAAUCCCGUCUUUGGCUGGGUCGCCGGCGCGUUCGAGCCGUCCUCGAAGAGUCGGGUUGCUUGGGAGUGCAGCCCUAAGUGGGUGGUAAAUUUCAUCUAAAGCUAAAUAUGUGUGGGAGACCGAUAGCGAACAAGUACCGUGAGGGAAAGAUGAAAAGAACUUUGAAAAGAGAGUUAAAAAGUACUUGAAAUUGCUGAGAACGAAGGGAUGGCGACUAGUAUUGGCCGUGGAGAUCCUGCGGGCGUGGGCUGGUGGCGUUUGCCGGUGUCGGAUUGCGUCAGCUUCCGCACUGGCAGAUCGGCUGUCCGCUCGUCCGCUUCGUCACCGUGUGUGCCUAGGUCAGAAUGGGUUCGCUUCCGAUUGAGAACGUCUCCGGCAAGGUAGCUCGAGUUUCGGCUCGAGAACUUAUAGGCCGGCGUCGCGAGAUCGUCGCGGUCCGAGGUGUCGAAACACGCGCUCUAAGCUGUAGGCGUGGCGGUUGCUGUCGUGUCGGCGUCGUCGGGGAACAAAGUUCCGCUGCGAUUGUCGGCCGGCACUCGGCCGUCCGUCCAUACGUCGUGUUGGCGAUUCUGACGAAAUGGUCGUCAUUCACCCGUCUUGAAACACGGACCAAGGAGUCUUACAUAUAUGCGAGUAACCAAGUGGAAAACUUGCUUGCGGAAUGAAGGUGAAUGAGUGUGAUCGACCGUCAGAAAGUCGAGCAACACCGGGCGGCUAAGAUAACUGUACGACCAUGAGCAUAUCUGUAGGGACCCGAAAGAUGGUGAACUAUGCUUGAGCAGGAUGAAGCCAGGGGAAACUCUGGUGGAAGUCCGAAGCGAUACUGACGUGCAAAUCGUUCGUCUGACUUGAGUAUAGGGGCGAAAGACUAAUCGAACUAUCUAGUAGCUGGUUCCCUC